Molecule: ribosomal RNA, 223 nt
Filed under: Clostridioides difficile
Lineage: Bacteria; Bacillati; Bacillota; Clostridia; Peptostreptococcales; Peptostreptococcaceae
Description: partial 16S ribosomal RNA
Rfam family: Bacterial small subunit ribosomal RNA
Source: RNAcentral
AAUAUCAAAGGUGAGCCAGUACAGGAUGGACCCGCGUCUGAUUAGCUAGUUGGUAAGGUAACGGCUUACCAAGGCGACGAUCAGUAGCCGACCUGCGAGGGUGAUCGGCCACAUUGGAACUGAGACACGGUCCAAACUCCUACGGGAGGCAGCAGUGGGGAAUAUUGCACAAUGGGCGAAAGCCUGAUGCAGCAACGCCGCGUGAGUGCUGAAGGCCUUCGGG